This 266-nucleotide ribosomal RNA is filed under the name uncultured bacterium. RNAcentral describes it as "partial 16S ribosomal RNA". It matches the Rfam family "Bacterial small subunit ribosomal RNA", at positions 57 to 305 of the family's 1533-position model. The record is from RNAcentral.
GCAAGUCGUGCGAGAAAGCAGUCUUCGGAUUGUGAGUAGAGCGGCGAACGGGUGAGUAACACGUAAGCAACCUGCCUCUAAAUCUGGGAUAACCUUGCUAACGCGGGGCUAAUACCGGAUGUGGUCCAAGGAUCUCAUGUUUCUUGGAUUAAAGGUGACCUCUUCUUGAAAGUUACUGUUUAGGGAUGGGCUUGCGGACCAUUAGCUUGUUGGUGGGGUAACGGCCUACCAAGGCGACGAUGGUUAGCCGACCUGAGAGGGUGAUC